AACGAACGCUGGCGGCAUGCCUAACACAUGCCAGUCGAACGAUCCCUUCGGGGAUAGUGGCGCACGGGUGCGUAACGCGUGGGAACCUGCCCUUAGGUUCGGAAUAACUCAGAGAAAUUUGAGCUAAUACCGGAUAAUGUCUUCGGACCAAAGAUUUAUCGCCUUUGGAUGGGCCCGCGUUGGAUUAGCUAGUUGGUGGGGUAAAGGCCUACCAAGGCGACGAUCCAUAGCUGGUCUGAGAGGAUGAUCAGCCACACUGGGACUGAGACACGGCCCAGACUCCUACGGGAGGCAGCAGUGGGGAAUAUUGGACAAUGGGCGAAAGCCUGAUCCAGCAAUGCCGCGUGAGUGAUGAAGGCCUUAGGGUUGUAAAGCUCUUUUAACCGGGAUGAUAAUGACAGUACCGGGAGAAUAAGCCCCGGCUAACUCCGUG
Molecule: ribosomal RNA, 433 nt
Filed under: uncultured bacterium
Lineage: Bacteria
Description: partial 16S ribosomal RNA
Rfam family: Bacterial small subunit ribosomal RNA
Source: RNAcentral